GCCCAACUAGCUCAGUCGGUAGAGCAUGAGCCCCUUAUCUCAGGGUUGUGGGUUCAAGCCCCGUGUUGGGUG
Molecule: transfer RNA, 72 nt
Filed under: Phoenicopterus ruber ruber
Lineage: Eukaryota; Metazoa; Chordata; Aves; Phoenicopteriformes; Phoenicopteridae
Rfam family: tRNA
About the family: Transfer RNA (tRNA) molecules are approximately 80 nucleotides in length.
Source: Rfam by way of RNAcentral